AGCUCCGCUAGCGUAUAUUAUUAAUGUUGCAGUUGAAACGUUCGUAGUCUUCAGUGGUGUGUAAAGGAACGGCGACAGUUUUGUCAAACGCUUCUUCGCACAUUAUGCCGUCGCGAAGAAAUUCGCUACGGGUUUACCUUGAUUCACUCGGCGCGCUCGAAGCAGGACAUGGCCAUGAACGAUUAACCAUGGGAUAUUCAAACCAUAGUCGCGAUACCUCAGUGUAGGCGGUAUCCGGCAGACAUUUACGAGAACGAUUAAGGGCGUUCGGAUUGUGUAGUCAGAGGUGAAAUUCUAAAAUUUACACAGGCCGAUCUACGGCGAAGGCAUUCGUCCGAAAUGUUUCUG
RNAcentral lists this ribosomal RNA (348 nucleotides) under uncultured eukaryote. RNAcentral describes it as "SSU rRNA". It matches the Rfam family "Eukaryotic small subunit ribosomal RNA", at positions 587 to 972 of the family's 1831-position model. The record is from RNAcentral.